This 433-nucleotide ribosomal RNA is filed under the name uncultured bacterium. RNAcentral's name for it is "partial 16S ribosomal RNA". It matches the Rfam family "Bacterial small subunit ribosomal RNA", at positions 29 to 507 of the family's 1533-position model. The record is from RNAcentral.
AACGAACGCUGGCGGCAUGCCUAACACAUGCAAGUCGAACGAGACCUUCGGGUCUAGUGGCGCACGGGUGCGUAACGCGUGGGAACCUGCCCUUAGGUUCGGAAUAACUCCCCGAAAGGGGUGCUAAUACCGGUUAAUGUAUUCGGACCAAAGAUUUUUCGCCUUUGGAUGGGCCCGCGUUGGAUUAGCUAGUUGGUAGGGUAAAAGCCUACCAAGGCGACGAUCCAUAGCUGGUCGGGGAGGAUGAUCAGCCACACUGGGACUGCGACCCGGCCCAGACCCCUACGGGAGGCAGCAGUGUGGAAUAUUGUACAAUGGGCGAUAGCCUGAUCCAGCAAUGCCGCGUGUGUGAUGAAUGCCUUAGUGUUGUAAAGCUCUUUUACCCGGGAUGAUAAUGACAGUACCGGGAGAAUAAGCUCCGGCUAACUCCGUG